Molecule: long non-coding RNA, 2991 nt
Filed under: Anas zonorhyncha (Eastern spot-billed duck)
Lineage: Eukaryota; Metazoa; Chordata; Aves; Anseriformes; Anatidae
Description: lncRNA (ENSAZOG00000012426.1)
Source: RNAcentral
GGGGGGCAUUGAAUUUUUGCAAACAAAGCGCAGCACAGCCCGGGCAUUCCCUGAUGGGAUGUUUUUUGUUUUUUUUUUGGGGGGGGCUGCUUUGGGCAGGGUCCAAGCUCCAAGCGCGGAGGAUCCAUGCAUUUAGCAUCUGUGGGCACCCUGCUGCUGGGGUGCAGUGUCCCCCAUCCCACCCCUGCCUCCCCAAAAUCCCCCCAAAUCCCCCCAAAUCCCCCCCAAAUCCCCCAAAAUCCUCACAGGGGGACUGAUCGGUGGCUGAAAGCCUCUUACCCAGCAUCUGGCACGGCUCAUGUCCAGCUGGGUGCUGAGACCCGAGGGGCUCUCUGCACCCAAGGAUGCUCACAGCAGCCUCGUCCCAUCCCGUCCUGCUGCAGGGGGGGUCUGGGGCUGAACACCACCCCCCUUGGGGACACCCAAAACCUCCUCGCCCUCGCCGGCAGCCGCUGGUCUCCACCCGCCAGCCCCGGCGCCAGGGCUUUCCAGCGGUUCCCAGCGCUUUCCAGCGGUGGUUUUGAAAGAGCCGCAUUGUCUGCUUCCCCCCCCCCCGCUGUGGCCCCCUGCUUCUCCGUGUGUGUGGGGGGGUCUGGGCAGCGAGCUCCCCCCCAACAGGAUCAGCCUCACCCCCUCCGUGCCUCAGUUUCCCCCUGGCACCUUUUGGGGUGCAGGGGGUGUGGGGCUCAGCCCCCCCGAACCCCCAGAUCCCUGGAAACGGACACCAUGGUCCCGUGGGACCCCACGUGGUGCCUGCUGCUGGGGCUCUGCGCCCUGCUCCCCGUCGCCGGCACCCAGGGGACCCCAACCGAGGAUGCGGUGCCGGGGGUCCCCGAGCGCUGCGGCGUCACCUUCCACACCCCCAACCCCUGCGGGGCCCCCCAAACUCCCCCCUCGGCCUCUCGCCAAGAGCUGGAGCAUCUCCAGAGCCUCCUGCAGCAAACCAGGGCCAGCCUGCAGGACGUGGAAGCGGCGGCGGCGCUGGAGGAGCACCGGCCCCGCUACCAGGACGUGAUCGCCGAGGCGCUGCCCGCCAUCCGCGGGGCCAACCGGGAGUUCCAGGAGAGCCUGGACAACGUCCGCAGGGAGCUGGAGGCGCACGUGGCCGAGAGCGAGCACCCGCAGGAGGUGGAGAAGAGGGAGAAGCUGCGGAAGGACGUCCGCGUGGUGGCCCACGUCCUGCGGCUCACCGCCCGCCUGGCCCGCGCCCUCGACGCCUCCUCGCAACGCCUCCAGGACGAGCUCCACCAGCGCCUGCAGCGCUCGGCCGCCCGCGCUGCUGCCGCCCCCCAGCCCUAAGGCUCUGCCCCCCACUUUCUAUAUGGCCUUGCUUGCUGGUAGGACCCUAUUUUGCCCCCCAGCCGGCUCGCCCUCACCGCUUUCGGGGUGCCCGGCUCCAACACGCGGUCCCUAGGGUUUGGGGAGCGAGCUGGGUGCCGGGCUGGCACCGGCGCACUGCCCGUAGCCCCAGCCCCAAGUUUUUAACGCAUUUAUCCCGCAGGAGCUGCACCCUGCUGGGGCACAACCCCGUGCACCCUACGCACGGGGAGAUCCCCCCUGCUGCAGGCUCCUUCCCACCAGAGCUCUGCGCCCUCGGGCCCUCCCUGAGGUUGCUUUGUGCAUGCAGCUCGCCAGACUCGUGUGCCAGUAUUUGGGGGCUCCCCAGCACCCCCAGAGUGCCUUAAAAAUGAACCCCAAAUCCUUCGGGGCUCGGCUGGUGACCUCCCCACAUCGCAGCCCUCCUGGAUGCGUCCCCGCGUGGGCAGAGCCACCGCCAGCCCCCGUUAAUCCAUCACCCGGCCUGAAACACCCCCAGCACCCCCCAGCUGCUGGGAGCAGGAGGCUGGGGAGCUGCAGGAAUGGGGACAGGGAUGGGGACAGGGAUGGGGAUGGGGUUGGGGACAAGGUGGCUGCGCAUGUGCACGAACCACCCAGCAGUAAAAUCGAAGCUGGCAACCGGAGCGCACCGAGCCCAGGGGGGGUUUGGGCACCAGGAAAAGAGCUGGAGGCAGAACACCCCGCUGCUUUUGGGAGCCGGGGGGGGGGGCUGCUGGCACAGCGUGUCCUAGGCACCCCAAUGUGCUGGGUGUGGGGUCCCCGCUGUCCCCAUGGGGUCCCGGGGAUGGGCACGAGGUCAGGGAUGCCCGGGGCAGCGGCACGGCACGAUUUGAGGUGCUGGAGGCAGGGGAAUAAAGAGGCACCGCGCUCUGCGUGAUCUCCGUGUCUGUUUUAUCUCCGUCCUCUGCUGCCUGGGGGUGGCCGUGGCUGCCUGCAGCCCCCCCCCCCGGCUCCGAAAUGGCACGGCGAGGGCUCGCUGGCAGCUCCAAAUGGUGCCCAGCACCUCCCGGUGUGGCUGCAGCGGGCACGGUCCCCUCGGCUGCCCCGUGCCCAUGGGACACUCGGGGACAGACCCAGCCGGGGGGGGCGCUUCCCCCAAGCCCCCCUCGCUGCCUGACCAGGAAUCAGCUCCAGAAAAUGGAGAGUCCAUAAAAAUGUCUUUUUUUUUUUCUCCUAAAUCACUCUCCACGGCCUUACAGCGCUCACCCUCCUGGACCCAGACACGGACCCAUCCCCAAAUCCAGGGAGCCGUCCUUGGAGACCUCCCCGCUCUCCCCAGCUGAUCCCUGCCCCUCUUUCUCGCCCCCCCUGUCCUCCUCCUCCACCCCCAGCACCCCCACCCCAUCCCCUGGCCCUGUGGGCAUCUUUAGGACGCAUCCCCAUGGGCUCAGGACCCCGCAGAGGGGCUCAGUACCUUGAGGACACCAGGGACGGAGGCGGGAUGGGGCGCAGAGAAUUCCUAGAGGGGGAGAACCAAAUUCCAGCACCCCCCCACCCUGAUUUGCCGGGCUCUGCCUCCUGGUUUAUCUCCCCGGGGAAAGGAAGCCGAUGAUUGCCCAGGUCCCCCAGGGCUGGAAAUUGCAGCCCUGGGCUUGAGACGCAGGAAGGUUCGAGCGCAACAUUUCCUAGCAGGAAGGAAGGGGGGAGGCUGGU